CAGGUUUCUCCCUCCUCUGUCUACUCACCAGGCCUCUCUGAGGACGCAGGAGGCAGGGGUUGCCGUGGGGGAGGAGCACCCUGCAGAUGGCGCCCUGACUCUGGCAAGGAAGGGGCUCCAGGGUCACAUGGAGGUCAAAGGAGAGCGGGGCAUGGCGAGGGCUGCUCACACAGGGUCCUGGCCACCCACGGGAACUAACUGAAAGAGCAGGGGGCAUUGAGGCCCUGAAGACACAGGGAGAACGCAGGCCACCUGGGGGGAGAGGGACGUUUCCUCUCAUGCAGUCAUCAACAAACUUUAACUGAGGGACACAAGGGAAUCUCAGAGAUUUAAGGAGUAAGUGCAUGAAAAGAAAGAAGGAAGGAGAGAGGACAGAGUCCCUGCACUGUCGGAACUCUCCUUGAAUAUAAGAUGACGGCUCAGAUGAAAAAAAUACCUACAAUGCAGAAUCAUGCAGGAGGUGCUAUAAAACUCUCCCAAAAUGAAGAAAAGAGAAAAAUCUUGCUUCGAGUCCACCUUGACAGCCCCAGCCCCGCACCCAGGGCCUGGCACACAAACAGCAAGCCGGGCCUCGGUGGAGUAGGGUGCACCUGGGGCUGCAGGGCAGGGGGACCUGGACAGGUCUCAGAGGGGGCUGCUGAGAGGAGGGGAGGGGCUCGGUGGAAGGGUCAGUGGCCUGGCCCGGAAACCAUCCCGGAGGAGUUCCUGGGGCCGGAAGUCUGCAGAGCUGUCCCCAGGAGGCCACUGCAGGGGCCCCUUGCAGGUGAGUGAGGGCCCCCAGGUCUCACCCUCUCGGGCCAGCCCAGCAGGGCAGUGACUCUGGGAGCUGUGACGAGCUGAACUGUGUCACCCUCCAGAUUCGUAGGUGGAAGCCUUCACCCCUGCCUGGUACCUCAGAAUGUGACCUAUUUUGGCGCAGGGCCUUUCCAGAGGUAAUAAAUUAAAAUGAGGUCAUGAGGGUGGGCCCCAAUCCAGUACAACUGGUGUCCUUAUGAGAAAUGCAAGACAGCUGGGUGUGGUGGCACAUGUCUGCAAUACAGAACUCUGAGAGGCUGAGUCAGGAGGAUCACAAUUUCCAGCCCAGCCUGGGCAAUGUAGGGACAGCCUGCCUCAAAAUUUAAAAAUAAAUAAAUAAAUAAAGGGCUGGGGAUGUAGCUCAGUGCAAAGCCCCUGGGUUCAAUCUCAGGAGAGAAAAGAGAAGAAGGAAGGCAGGGAGGAAACCAGGGAUUUUUGUGCAGAGGAAUGGCUGUAAGCUGUCUGCAAGUCCAGGAGAGAGGCCUCAAGAGAAACUGACCCUGCCAACACCUUGCUGCUGGACUUCCAGCCUCCAGACGUGAGUCAGUUUCUGUGGUAUGAGUCUCCCAGGCUAUGGUGCUUUAUUGCUGCAGCCUCGGCAGGACGAAGACAGGGAGUCAGCAUCACACUCUGAACUUACUGUGCAUCUCAGAUGAGUCAUUUAGCCUCUCUGUCCUGACCUGAGAGAAGAAGCAAGGUCCACCCAGGGCAACAGAGAAGCACUGGAGAAACUGAGUGUGUACCAUGGGCAUCCGUUCAGUGUGCAGAGUUUGGUCAGAGCACCUCUAAGCUGAGGUACAGCAGGAAGGAAGUUCGCCAGGGUGCAGGGGGGAAGAAACCAGGCCUUCCUUUGUAUCUGUUCUUACAUCUUCAUUUUACGUUUCUAUUUAUAUGCAUGGGGUUUUUAGAAUAUAUAAAUGUUUAUGUAAAACUUAUGAAAAAAGGUCAGCCUUUUAUAUUUCUGCUUCGCGUAUGAUUUUUUUAGUAUUGUUGUUUUGGCAUUGUUGGAUUUUUAUAUUUGGUUUUUGUUGUUUUGUUUUGUUCUGUUAUUUGCAUUGUUGGGAUAGAACCCAAGGCCUUGCCCCUGCUAGGCAAAUACUCUGCCACUGAAUUGCAUCCUCAGAGAUUUUAUUUUGCAGAAGAGUCUCACUGUAUCCUCCCAGGCUGUCUCAAACUUGUGAUCCUGCCUCAGCCUCCCCAGUAAGCGGGAUUACAGGCAUGCGCUGCCCACAUCAGCCUGUGCAUGGUGCUGAUGUAGUCAUCUGUAAAUGCAAUGCUAGCUGUGUGUAAUAUAUGAAUAAGCAGAUUUGCAUAUAGUAGGGGAUGAGAUUCUUAAGAUUUACUGGUGAGAAUACAGAGACCCACACAGAACGACAUGCUGUGCCAUCAAUAUUUCUCAUCUAUUGCUGUGCUAGGCUGGGUGCAGCAGGGGACAGCGGCCGUGUGAGAUGCCAUCGGGCCUGGGAAGCUGGUGGGUUGGCAGGGCGUUUGUGCACACUGAGUCCCCUGGACAAGUUUUGAGACUCAGAGACAGAGGCUCGCUGGUCUUCAGGAACGUGGUUGUGCGAUUCUGCGGACAGCGAGAGCUCUGGGCCGGCCUCACUGGGCCGACACCAGCGGCGUGGCCUUCUUCAGGCAGACGCCCUUCGUGGUGUGAGGGACAAACCGACACCAGAGAAAUAAAGGAAAAUGUGGAGGCACUAUCUGGGGCCUUCAGGGCUGACAGAUGGGUACCUGUGAGGCUCUGCUGAGAUCCCCACCAGUGGCUGGUGAUGCUUGGUCGGGGAUGUUCUUGUUUGGGGAAGUGGCCAGCAUGGAGCCUGUAAGGCAGCUGUGGGCUCAUUCCACAGUCACAGAGAGAUGGACAGAGGAGACCAGCGGCUGGGAGAGCUCUGUGCUGAGACCCCACAAAAUGAGACCCUUCAGGGCCCCGAAGCGUAGGGCAGGUGUGAAGAGGGCAUGGCUGGCUUGUGCUCGCUGUGUGCGGCAGCUUCCAGUCUGUGAAGGCAGGGUGGGAGCCACAGAAUACAAACUGGGGGAACUGGAGGUCUGAAGUGCCAGGUCAUGCUCAGCAAACAGCCCAGACCAGUGGGGGCGAACCUAUGGCAUGAGAGCCACAGCCAGCACACAGAGCCUGCUCUAUCGGGCCGAGAGCCAAGUCGCCCCACAGCUGAGCAUCAGAUAACACUUGUUUUUUCCUAAACUAACACCUCAGUUUUCAGGUUUAAUUGCAGUGUUGGUGCUUUGCGAAAAAUAAAUGGGUUUGGGGUUGCAUCUUGGGCACUCAACUCUAAAAGGUUCGCCAUCCCUGACCUAGACUUUUCCUGCAACAAACUGUACAAAUUCCUAGCUGUGUGGCCUGUGACUGGUCACUUAAUGUCUCUAAACCUCUGUUGUUUCAUCUGUGAGGCAGAGUAUUCUGUUCCCAGGGUAAACAAGGAGACAGGUCUGUUAUCCCCAAACCACCUCCACGUCCCAAAAGCUCCCUCUGAGAAUGACAUGCAGAACACAUGGCUCAGGAAGAAGGCCCAGAACACACCCACUGGGCAGCUGGGCAGCAGCCUCCGCCUUGUGACUGUCCCUCCUGCACCAUAUGGCAAGAGGGAUGGGCCAGGCAGCGGGAGGGCCGGGAGGCUUCAGCUGGUGAGUCUCACUCCACAGCUGGCAGGAGCAGAACGUCAGCCCCUCCACACCCCACCCUGUGGGCAGCAGAGGACGAAGGCCCAGAGCCCAGCAGACAGGUGCCUUGUCCUCCCUGAGCCGCUGACUCUGAGCAGAUGCAGGGCCCCAGCCUCCUCCCCCUCCUGCCUCCUUCCUCCUCUUCUUCCUGCUCUGAAUGAAUCUUUCUGGCUUCCUGGAAGUAGCCUGGGCUCCAUUUUCCCUCCCUCAACAGGGCAACAUUCCCUAGGCUCAGGCAGAGCACUGGUGAGUGGAGAAGUCACACUACCCAGGGGCCUCUGUGUAGUGGCCCGGACGGAGCAUGGGAACAGGGACUUUCAUGGGGAACGUCAUUCUUAGGAAAAGUCUUUCAUCCCCAAACCAAAGCAUUCUUUUUUUUUUUUUGGUACGGAGAUCGAACUCGGGUCCUUGCACUUGCACAGCAGGCGGCGAAACCACUGAGCUCAAUCCCCAGCCCACCAAAGCAUUCUUUUAAAAUUUUAUAGAAAAGAAAAAAGAGGCUGCAUUUGAUUUGGCAUGGAUUUACUGAACAUCCAUUCUGUGCUGGGCAUUUCUGGGCACCGUGGACACAGUGGGUAAAAAAUGGCCCUGGCACUUUCGGAUAAAUAACCGGGUUUGGGAGUGCAGUUUGGGCACUUGGUCUCUAAUAGGUUCACCAUCCCUGGAGUAGGGGUUGGUCCCCUCCACACCCUGGACACACCAUGCAGGUGUCAGCAGAGGGCGCUGUCUGGUCUGGGCCACGGGCAAUGUGGGUUCUGGGCUCCUCUGAGGACUGUGAACCGUGGCAGGACUACCCCCCGUGGGCACGGCACUGGGGACAGGACACGGGGCCCUCCACAGGCACAAUUAAACGUCAUUUGCAUCUCUUACAGGGAACAGAUGCUCCUUUCCAUCGGAAAUGUUCCCAUAUGGUCUGGGUUUGUUGCAAUUUCUAACAAGGCCUGGCCUUGAAUUUUGCAAUUAAAGGUGUCCCUGGGCUAUCACCAGAAAAGGAACCAAGUUCCAUUUGGCCCUGGAGGGUUUUUUUGGCCUCAGGCAGGAAGGAAUCUAGACAUCUGUAGCACAGGCCCUUACCAGCUCUACCUGAGUCCCACUCGGGGACAGUUUGGAGCCUUCCCUCUAGGGGUGAGCAGCAGCCCUGCCCUGAAGUCCUAGGAAAGACAGCAGAGUGGGGAGACGGGGAGGGACAGGGACCAGCGAGCAGGUCCCAGGGCUGUCAGGAUUGGCUUCAGGAGCCUCCCCUCGAGCAUCUCAUAGCCUCACUUUUCUGUUCACUGACCCUUUGGACCCUCUCCCCUCAUUUUUCCUCCUCUCUAACCUCAGGCCACAAACGGCCUCCCCAGAUCUUCAGACGUCUUCAAACCAAACCAGCAAUGGUUUCCGCACUCUGUGAACUGGCCAGGUCCUCACCUGCUCCAGCAUCCUCGGGGUCCCUGGCUGCUCAGUGUGGGGAGGACCAUCCUGCAGACUUCACGCCAGCCCUGUCCCCCAGCCCAGCCCACGGUUGUCCUGUAAGGCCUUUAACUUACAGCUCCUCUUCCCCAUUCUGCUCUCAGCUUGCUAUCUGAAUCUGGUGCAUGCUCUCAUCUCCCUAAUCACGUCUGGCUUUGUCUUGGCCCAGAUUCCCCAACCCCUCCUCCUAGGAACACAUCUACAUGUAACCCAAGAACUGUUCCCCGCCAGGGGACACCUUGGGUGUCACAUGUGCUUUUCCAGAAGUGGCCAUAGGAGGGCGGCCUUUCACCUCCUCUCAGGAACCCCUCUGUCUUCCCUGGACUGUGAACUCCUAUGUCCCCAGGCUAUGUCCUGUUGCAGGGACUGCUCAGCCUGCUCUCCCAAAUAGCAUUGCAGGCCUCCCCUGACCUUCUGUCUUCCCUCACACAGUUAUCUCCCUUAUCCUAUGGCCUCAGGACCUAGCCUGAGCUAUUAAUUCAUUCACUGGCUGUGUGACCAGGUGCGUUAUUUUUCUGUCAUAUGACAAAAUACUUUAUAUGAUCAACUCUUAAGGAGGAGAAGUUUACUUUGGCUCAGGAUUUCAGAGGCUUCCGUUCAUGGUUUGACCUGUUGCUUUGGGGCCUUCUGGUGAGACAUCAUGGAAACUGCAUGGUGGAGGGAGCAUCCACCUCCUAACAGCCAGGAGCAAAGAGAAAGCCACGGGAAGGAGCCAGGGUUCCAACAUCCCCUUCGAGGGAAGAGACCUGUCCCCAGGGACCUAACUUCCUUCCACUAGGCUCCACCUCCUCAGGGUUCCACCACCCCCUAAGAACACCAGAUUGAAGACCAGGCUUUCAACAUAUAGGCCUUUGGAAGAUGGCCCAGACCUAAACUAUGGCACCUGGUUUCUUACAACCACCUUUCAAACAUGGCCACUGGCAAUGACACAUAGCCUCCUGGAAAGCUGACCAGAUUGACUUCCACCCUCUGUGCUACUGACAUCAGAGGCACCGUGGGCAGAUCUGAACGUUAUCGAAGCACCGUAUUCUGGAACUUCCUGCCAAAUUUGCCUAUGGCACAUGGCUGAUUAUUUCAAGGUUGUCGUCUCUUUCCCCUCUGGCUCCAGGCCAACUCCUGUACUCCCUAAACCGUGUGGCUGCCGACAGCAUGCAGAUCUGACAUCUGUCAGUCAAGCUUUGAGACAGAGAGCCAGCCAGUACUCUUCGCCUCCCACAUCCAAGUCCCUGGGGAAGAAAUUCCACCAGGCCUGCUCAUCCACAUGAAGUGCCUAGCACCAUGCCUGACAGUGAGAAGCAUGCGGCAGUGUCAGCUGGUCUUAAUACUGGAAGUGGUGAUAGGAUUUUUUAAUAUCCAUAAUAAUUACUAGGGCCUCUGUGUCGGUGUCUGCACAGCUCUGUUUUGUGGAUGACAGUGUUCUUGUGUGGAAUCAGCGGAUACUUAACAGCCACCUGGGCCUCUGUGGCCAAGCCCACUUCAGGCUUCAGAAGCUGGAACAACCAUAGCCAUAGGCAGCUAAAUAGGCUAACUCCCCACAACCUACCAGCUCCAUUUGGACAGCAUAAAUCCUGCUUGACAGCCCCCAGCUCUGAGCCCAUGACUAAGAAAUUCUCUUUUAAGUAGAAGAUAACAUGGUUGGACAGUGACUACCAUUUGCAAACAAAAAUUCGAAAGAAAAUGGGUGCCCCGAGAAGGCUGCGCCAGGAAGCACAGGAGCAGGGAGGGAGAGAAACCCUUCCAGAUCACACCCGCAAGGAUCACUCCUCCAACCAGACCCCACCUCCUAACAGCAAGGCAGCUGUGCUGCCCAUGUGGCUGAGUCACCUUCCAGAACCCCCACCUAUGAGUGCAUGAGGCCUCUGGGGGACAUUCUUGGUCUAAAUCACAAUAAUCUUCAGUACUGAAACACACACACACAAAACAAAGGGCUAGAGGUGUGACUCAGUAUUCCCUGGCUUUAAUCUCCAGUGCUGUAAAUAAAUAAGUAAAUUUUAAAAACAGAAAAUAAUAAGUAAAAUGAGGAUGUGGAGAAAUCAGAACCCUUGUGGCAGGUAGGAAUGUAAAAAUUGUACAACCGCUAUGGAAAACAGUAUGAGGGUUCCUCAGAAAUGUAAAGUAGAAUUACCGUAUUACCCAGCAACACUACUUGUAGAUAUAUACCCAAAAGAAUUGUUUGUUUAUUUUUUUACUGGGGAUCAAACUCUGGUCCUUGCACCUGCAAGGCAGGCAGCGGAACCACUGAGCUAAAUCCCCAGCCCUAUACCCAAAAGAAUUGAAGGUAGGAUCUCCAAGGAAUAUGGGUGUAUUCAUGUUCAUAGCACCAUUGAUUAACAUAAGCCAAAAGAUGGAAGCAAUCACCAAAUGUCACUGACAGCUAAAUGGAUAAGCAAAAUACAAUGCAUGCAUACAAUGGCAUAUUAUUGUAUCAGUCUGCUCAGGCUCCCAUAAUAAAACACUAUAAACUAAAUGACUUGAACAACAUGGAUGUAUUUUCUCACAAAUAUAAACUAGAUGUCUAAGAUCAAGUCUCUGCCUGAUUCAGCUUUGGAUCAGGGUCUCGUCCUGGCUUGCAAAUAGCUGGCUGCUCCGUGUGUCCUCACAUGAUCUUUUCUUGGUGCCUGUGUGUGGAGGGACAAAAAGACAGACACAGACAGAGAGAACCAGCCCUCCAGUGUCUCUUCUUGUAAGGAGACUAACUCUAUCAGAGCAUGGCUCCACUACCCUUGUGACCUCAUUUAAAAAUGAAGGAAAUGGGCUGGGGAUUUAGCUCAGUGGCAUUGUGCCUGCCUUGCAAGUGCAAGGUCCUGAGUUCAAUCCCUGGUACCCGCCCCCCCAAAAACAAGGAAAUUUUGACAUCUGCUCCAAUAAGAAUGACCUCAAGGACAUAAUGCAAGGUGAAAUGAGCCAGCUACACACAAAAAAGACAAAUACUAUCUGAUCCAAUUAUAAAGUUCUUAGCAUCAUCAGGUUCAAAGAGACAGAAAGUAGAAUGCUGGUUGUCAGGGACUAAGAGGAAGAAGGGUGUGUUAGUUACCUUUCUCUCUCAUUGCUGAGACAAAAUACCUGAUACCCAAAGUUAGAAGGGAAGGGGUUUAUUUGGCUUAUAGUUUAUAGAAGUUUCAGCCCAUAAUCAGCUGACUCCAAGGAAGGGAUGACAAACAGGCAUGGCAGAACAGAAACAACAUGGCACACACAAGGCAGCAAAGGUAAUGAGAGAAAAUUACUGCUGUCUCCCUGGCCCUUUUAUUUUAUUAAAGCUACUUAGGGUGGAAAGCACUCACACCCUUAAUCCUAGUGCCCUUGAGCCUAGCAUUGCAUCAUGAAUCAAUUCCAGCUUCACACACCCUACCUAGAUCAAGCCUAUGACCACGUGAGGCUUUGGGAGACAUCCAGACCCAAACCGUAACAGAGGGAAUGAAGAAUUGUUGUGUAAUGGAGACAGAGUUUCAGUUUUGCAAAAUGAAGAGAGCUUUGGAGAUUAGUUGCUCAACAGUAUGAAUGUACUUAACACUACUGAACCAUACACUUGAAAAUGGCUAAGAUGGUAAGUUUGCUGAAAUGUGAGUUUUAUCACAAUUAAAAAUAACCAACAAACAAAGAAAUCCCCACUAGGAACACCACUCCACUCCUGCCUCCACUCCUAGAGUACUGGGGGUGAAAGGCAGGUGCUUUGAAAUAAGGAAGACCUGGCUUCACCUCUGCACCUCCCACAGCUACAAGGUAGCUGCCCAGUCUUCAAAAUGCAUCUUAUCCUUCAAAUGACUAAAUCUCAUUGAAUAUCAGGUUCCCUGCUGACUUUCUUGGGACUCUAGCAAAUUCCCAGUGGUCAGACUGCCUUGCAGUCCCUUAGCAGAUCCUCAGCAGAAGCAGAAGCUGGUAACUGGCAGCUGACCUGGGUCCUAAGUAUCUGAGUGCUGCACUGUCUGUAUUCUCCUCACCCCAUUGGCCCGUGUUUCAACAGCAUCCUACAGGGACUCCGCAUGUCUGACUUCAGAAAGAAAGAGCAGCAUGACUCCACUGCCAUUAAACUUGUCAAGAUUGUUCCCCAGAAGGUGCUCCCAGACCUAACGCUGACACCGAGGAAAGACCCUAGUUGGUUAUUUUGACACAUUCAGCCCAACUCUGCAACGGACUCAGUGACAUCCUCACUGGGCAGUUAGUUUCACAUCAGAGAAUACUUUGAUCCAUUCCAUGGGAUGCUCAAUGUGGAAUCAUUUAUCUUCCCUCUAGCUUUUAAAAAUGAGGAACUAGCCAGGUUUGGUGGUACACAACUGUAUUCCAGCACCCUGGGAGGGUGAAGCAGGAGGACUAAGAGUUUGAGCCCAGCCUGGGCAACUUAGUGAUUUAGUAGGACCCUGUCUCAAAAACACUGAAGAGUGUUGGGGAUGUAGUCGCAUGCAUAGGCCCUGGGUUCAAUCCUUAGUAUUGCAAUCAAUCAAUGAAUCAAUCAAUCAAUCAAUCAAAAAUUAAAAAUAAAAAUGAGGAGACUGAGGUCCAUAAAAGGUUAAGGGAUUUGCUUAAUGACAAUCAAAAGUAGAAAUGGGAAUCAAACCCACGGCUUUAGGAACCAAGUCCAGACAUAUUCCUAUGACGACAGGCUGCCUCACAAAAAUAAAAGUACCUUCUGAGUUUCUGUCAUCUUUGCUUAAGACCCAAGCCAAUUUUUUCCAUAUUGCUUCGGUUUUAAUAUAUGCGCUGUCAAAAUGAGCAUAUAUAAAAGCGUACAUCGUUAGCUAGGAUAAUUAAAUCCCUGGCUCAUCUGACCAUUUCACUAUAACAGCAGGCACUGUGUAGUUAACCCUCACUUUGCUGGUCCACCUCCCCUUGCAGACUAACAGCAAUAACAUCGCCUUGCAGAUAACAGGAAUGAUCCCUUUCCUAGUACCAAGGACAGUCUUUGAAACAAGAAUGACUGGAUAGAUUGGCGUCAGAUCACUGAUUAUGUGAGACAAAUGUGUGCCAUCCACCUGGACAAAUGUUUAUUUCAUAUCUCAGUCUCAGAAGCAGCAGGACAUCUGAAACAUGGAAGGGCUCCUGUACACUGUCAGUGCCCAGCAAUUUUGCAGAUGCCUUAUGUGUUGUGGUUAUGUUGGUUUUGGAUUUGGGUUUUCUUGCUUUUGGAGUUUAUUUUUGUUUUGUGCAUGUCCAUGUCUUUGUUUAUAAUAAAAUGCACCUCAAAUGUAUGUAAGGAAGCAUAAUGGCUGAAUCGAAUACUUUAGGAUGCCCUAAAAUUUAAGAAUAAGAUUGGCUCUAUUUUCAAAAUUAACUGAGCUGGUCAUUAAUCCUUUAUGUAUUAAGAAUCUCAUGUGCAGGAUACAAGAUAAACAUUAAAAAGUCAGUAGCUUCUCUGUACACAAUAUUGAACUGAGAAGAACAAAUCAGGAAAACAAUUCCACUCACAGUAGCUUCAAAAAAAUUACCUAGGAAUCAACCUAAGCAAGGAGGUGAAAGACCUCUACAAUGAAGAUUACAGAACUCUGAAGAAAGAAAUUGAAGAAGACACCAGAAAAUGGAAAGACCUCCCAUGUUCAUGGAUUGGCAGAAAUAACAUUUUAACCAAAAGCAAUCUACAGAUGCCAUGCAAUCUCCAUCAAAAC
This 10523-nucleotide long non-coding RNA is filed under the name Heterocephalus glaber (naked mole-rat). RNAcentral describes it as "lncRNA (ENSHGLG00000047294.1)". The record is from RNAcentral. Lineage: Eukaryota; Metazoa; Chordata; Mammalia; Rodentia; Bathyergidae.